GAGGAAAGAGGGGGGCGUGCCUAAUACAUGCAAGUCGAACGCAUAGCGAAAGGUGCUUGCCCCUUUCAAGUGAGUGGCGAACGGGUGAGUAACACGUGGACAACCUGCCUCAAGGCUGGGGAUAACAUUUGGAAACAGAUGCUAAUACCGAAUAAAACUUAGUGUCGCAUGACACAAAGUUAAAAGGCGCUUCGGCGUCACCUAGAGAUGGAUCCGCGGUGCAUUAGUUAGUUGGUGGGGUAAAGGCCUACCAAGACAAUGAUGCAUAGCCGAGUUGAGAGACUGAUCGGCCACAUUGGGACUGAGACACGGCCCAAACUCCUACGGGAGGCUGCAGUAGGGAAUCUUCCACAAUGGGCGAAAGCCUGAUGGAGCAACGCCGCGUGUGUGAUGAAGGCGUUCGGGUCGUAAAGCACUGUUGUAUGGGAAGAACAGCUAGAAUAGGAAAUGAUUUUAGUUUGACGGUACCAUACCAGAAAGGGACGGCUAAAUACGUG
RNAcentral lists this ribosomal RNA (497 nucleotides) under uncultured bacterium. RNAcentral's name for it is "partial 16S ribosomal RNA". It matches the Rfam family "Bacterial small subunit ribosomal RNA", at positions 28 to 507 of the family's 1533-position model. The record is from RNAcentral.